GUAUUCCUUGGUUUUAAUUUUAAUUAUUGGUAGUGUUGUUUAGUGCACCUUUUAAUUUCUCUUUGGAAACCCAACAGCCAGGCGGCUGGGUUUCUUUGGUAAUCCAACAGACCCUUACUAUUUAUUAUUUUAGUUUCUUUUUUCAUUUUUUGUUCCAAUCUAGUAGGGUUUAUAUAUUUAGGUUGUUAUUUAAAUACCACUAACCAUGAGUGGUUUGGUGGAUAAGGGUAGUAUCAUAGUUUUGAGUGGGGUGGGUUCAAUACCCAGGUAUGUUGCCUUGGUUUUCCAACACUUUGAUUUUUCCAUAUUUUCUUUAAUUCUCACAUUUAAUUAUCUAGCCUUAUCAUUUAACUAACAUGUUUCUAUCAUUUAUUCAUUUUUUAUUAUUAUUUUAUUUUUAAUAUGACUUAUGUGAUUAUUCAUUUAUUUAUUUUUGGGAUUUAUGUGAAUUAUUAUAUUUGUGUUUGUUCAUUCAUUUGUACAAAUUAUUUGCCUUUAUGUGUGAGUUACGUUACAAUCAUGAUAAAUCAUCACAAUCUCAUUAAUAAAAAAAACCCAUUCAAAACCAUUUUAAAAUUAUAAAAAUCAUAUUUUCUCGAUUCAAUGUCGAGCCCAUUUUUCCACACCCUUGUAAGUCGAUUGCUUUUUAAGCAUCGCCAUCAACCUCACAUAGCUUACUCUUGGGCUUUCUUACAAUGAGCCGGUUCUCUUGCACUUACACUCAUAUUUCGAGUCAUUUUGUUGUUUGGGCCCGAUUUAAU
Molecule: long non-coding RNA, 761 nt
Filed under: Lathyrus oleraceus (garden pea)
Lineage: Eukaryota; Viridiplantae; Streptophyta; Magnoliopsida; Fabales; Fabaceae
Description: Pisum sativum (pea) long non-coding RNA (PSAT_LNC037726)
Source: RNAcentral